RNAcentral lists this ribosomal RNA (448 nucleotides) under uncultured archaeon. RNAcentral describes it as "bacterial SSU rRNA". It matches the Rfam family "Archaeal small subunit ribosomal RNA", at positions 64 to 516 of the family's 1478-position model. The record is from RNAcentral.
GUCUUAGGGACUCGGCGUACCGCUCAGUAACACGUGGGUAACCUGCCCUAUGCUGGGGGAUAACCUCGGGAAACUGAGAAUAAUACCCCAUAGUUCACCACGCCUGGAACGGUGGGUGGAUGAAAGCUCCGGCGGCAUAGGAUGGGCCUGCGGCGUAUCAGGUUGUAGGGGGUGUAAUGUACCCUCUAGCCAUCUACGCGUACGGGUGUUGGGAGACAUCGCCCGGAGAUGGACUCUGAGACACGAAUCCAGACCCUACGGGGUGCAGCAGGCGCGAAAACUUGGCAAUGCGAGCAAUCGUGACCAGGGAACUCCAAGUGCAUCGGGUAAGACCGAUGCUUUUCUUGACUCUUCAAAGGUCUUGGAAUAAGGGGUGGGUAAGGACGGUGCCAGCCGCCGCGGUAAUACCGGCGCCUCAAGUGGUAGUCGCUUUUAUUGGGCCUAAAAC